CAUUUUGCCUUGCUGAUGAGGCUGAGCUAGAGAGAGCUAGAGAGACCUGGAAAUGAAAGUAAAAAAGACCAAGAGGCACAUGGAGGGAGCUGUAUCGGCAACAGCUCUAGGAAAAGAAUGCUGCCUUCUAUAAUUAAAUAGCAAUUACUAGUAUUAUUAUUAAAAGUAAUAAUGCUCUAAUAAUAUCUCUAGUAAUAUCAUACUAUUUAAUCGAGGCGAGGUGAUCAUAGUGUAGAGGGCAUACCCAAGCAGAGGCGUGACUGUAAUGGAGAGACAAAAAAGGAAAGAGGAGAUAGAGAAGGGACUUCAGUUCAUCCAGCAGUGGGGUAACAAUGCGUUCUACCAUGUUAAAUCGAGAUUACCACCACCACCCCAGGCCCUUCUGGCGGUUCACAUCAGCACAAAAG
This is a long non-coding RNA of Rhineura floridana, 407 nucleotides long. RefSeq lists it as uncharacterized. The transcript has 3 exons. NCBI's taxonomy places the organism in Eukaryota, Metazoa, Chordata, Lepidosauria, Squamata, Rhineuridae. The record is from RefSeq and is a predicted model, not a curated record.